AUACGGAGGAUCCGAGCGUUAUCCGGAUUUAUUGGGUUUAAAGGGAGCGUAGGCGGGAGCUUAAGUCAGCGGUUAAAUGGUGCGGCUCAACCGUGCCCUGCCGUUGAAACUGGGUUUCUUGAGAGUGCAAGAGGCGGAUGGAAUUCAUGGUGUAGCGGUGAAAUGCUUAGAUAUCAUGAAGAACUCCGAUUGCGAAGGCAGUCCGCUGGGGCACGUCUGACGCUGAUGCUCGAAGGUGCGGGAAUCAAACAGGAUUAGAUACCCUGGUAGUCCGCACGGUAAACGAUGAUUACCCGCUGUCGGCGGCAGACAGUCGGCGGCCAAGCGAAAGCGAUAAGUAAUCCACCUGGGGAGUACGCCGGCAACGGUGAAACUCAAAUGAAUUGGCGGGG
RNAcentral lists this ribosomal RNA (392 nucleotides) under uncultured bacterium. RNAcentral's name for it is "partial 16S ribosomal RNA". It matches the Rfam family "Bacterial small subunit ribosomal RNA", at positions 523 to 918 of the family's 1533-position model. The record is from RNAcentral.